RNAcentral lists this ribosomal RNA (476 nucleotides) under uncultured bacterium. RNAcentral's name for it is "partial 16S ribosomal RNA". It matches the Rfam family "Bacterial small subunit ribosomal RNA", at positions 28 to 507 of the family's 1533-position model. The record is from RNAcentral.
GACGAACGCUGGCGGCGUGCCUAAUACAUGCAAGUUGAGCGCUAAGGGUUGGUCCUUGUACCGACUGGGUGAGCAGCGCACGGGUGAGUAACGCGUGGGGAAUCUGCCUUUGAUCGGGGGACAACAUUGGGAAACGAAUGCUAAUACCGCAUAAAAACUGUAAACAUAAGAUUUAAGAUUGAAAGAUGCAAUUGUAUCACUCGGGGAUGAGCCCGCGUUCUAUUAGCUUGUUGGUGGGGUAAAGGCUCACCAAGGCGACGACGCGUAGCCGGCCUGAGAGGGUGUACGGCCACAUUGGGACUGAGAUACGGCCCAGACGCCUACGGGAGGCAGCAGUGGGGAAUAUUGCACAAUGGGCGCAAGCAUGAUGCAGCGACGCCGCGUGGGGGAUGACGGCCUUCGGGUUGUAAACUCCUUUCGCUAGGGACGAAGCGCAAGUGACGGUACCUGGAGAAGAAGCACCGGCUAACUACGUG